RNAcentral lists this ribosomal RNA (386 nucleotides) under uncultured bacterium. Its description in RNAcentral is "bacterial SSU rRNA". It matches the Rfam family "Bacterial small subunit ribosomal RNA", at positions 30 to 417 of the family's 1533-position model. The record is from RNAcentral.
AUUGAACGCUGGCGGCAUGCCUUACACAUGCAAGUCGAACGGCAGCACGGGAGCAAUCCUGGUGGCGAGUGGCGAACGGGUGAGUAAUAUAUCGGAACGUGCCCGGUCGUGGGGAUAACGUAGCGAAAGCUACGCUAAUACCGCAUACGAUCUACGGAUGAAAGCGGGGGAUCGCAAGACCUCGCGCGAUUGGAGCGGCCGAUAUCAGAUUAGGUAGUUGGUGAGGUAAAGGCUCACCAAGCCGACGAUCUGUAGCUGGUCUGAGAGGACGACCAGCCACACUGGGACUGAGACACGGCCCAGACUCCUACGGAGGCAGCAGUGGGGAAUUUUGGGACAAUGGGCGCAAGCCUGAUCCAGCAAUGCCGCGUGCAGGAUGAAGGCCU